AAACACCCAUCUCCAAAGGGAAGAUCCAUCAGCUCCACGUCAACCACAAAGGAGAGAUUUACAGACCUGUCAUCAACCGUGAGCGGUGCCUGCACUCCAGGAAGGGCACUGAGAGUCACCCAGGUGUAGCCUCCACUCUUCAGAGAAUCAAUCAGAGGGGCCUCGACCAAGUAGCCAGCUUCUUGCGAUGCUGCAUGAAACAAAAUGCUCUUCAAGAUCCACGAGCUGAGGCUUCUUUGCUGUUAUGAGUGCUGGAAAGCUUCAAAGGCAAGAGGUCUGUUGGCAGACCUGAAAGAAGGUCUCCAGCCAAUAAACCAGAGGCAAAGGGACAAUUAACAGACUGCCGGACCCCAAUUACGGGCGGCCUAACACCAGCUAUGACUGUUUUGAAAUAAUGGGAAGGAAAAAAAGUGCAAGACCUUCACCACCUUGAUCCUCAUCACAUACCCCAGACUGCA
Hippopotamus amphibius kiboko is the source of this 458-nucleotide long non-coding RNA. RefSeq lists it as uncharacterized. The record is from RefSeq and is a predicted model, not a curated record. The transcript is spliced from 4 exons. Lineage: Eukaryota; Metazoa; Chordata; Mammalia; Artiodactyla; Hippopotamidae.